Long non-coding RNA from Parus major (Great Tit), 576 nucleotides. RefSeq lists it as uncharacterized. The record is from RefSeq and is a predicted model, not a curated record. Lineage: Eukaryota; Metazoa; Chordata; Aves; Passeriformes; Paridae. The transcript has 2 exons.
GGCUCGCCCUGCCCCCUGCGCCUUUCCCAUCCCCUGCGCCAGGAACAUCCCCGGCAGCGCUGGGGGGGCUGGGACGCUCCGAUAACCAACUGGUUUGAACUGGUCGGGCCGUGCGAAUUCCUGCGUCUGACGGAGAGGACAACGAGGAUGAGUGUGAGCCUUCAUCCAAAGACCACCAGAAGAAGAAUGAAGACCCCCCAGCAACAAGUGAGGCGUGAAUUAGUGACGGAGAAUUUAAGAACUGAAAGUGGGAGGAAACUUAGAGCAAACAUCAAUGAAUAUGUAUAAGCAUAUAGUAUAUAAAUAUAGUAUAUAUAUUUAUAUAUAUAGUAUAUAAAUUCAGUUUGAAUUGCUUUGUUUUGUAUGUGAGGCAGGGUGAGAAGCCCUCUCCACACCCCAGUCACUUUUGUUUAUGUUUUAAUCAUAAUUAAUUACUAACAAAUUACAUAUAUAUAAAUUGUGUAUUUUUUUUACUAGCUUGUGUUCAUUUAUAUCAAAUCGAUAUUCAAUUCAUUAAAUUGUAUUCUUUCACUGAAUUGUAUUAAUUUUUAAUUAAAUUGCUGUUAAUUCAACAGA